UUCAAGGUUUUUUUUGAAACCACAUAUUCAGACGGAGAUUUAGUUU
This is a non-coding RNA of Strongylocentrotus purpuratus (purple sea urchin), 46 nucleotides long. NCBI's taxonomy places the organism in Eukaryota, Metazoa, Echinodermata, Echinoidea, Camarodonta, Strongylocentrotidae. The record is from Rfam.